RNAcentral lists this non-coding RNA (104 nucleotides) under Platyophrya macrostoma. Lineage: Eukaryota; Ciliophora; Colpodea; Cyrtolophosidida; Platyophryidae. The record is from RNAcentral.
UCACGAGCCUUGGGGCUCUGGAUCAGUAAGCCUCAGUGUUCCGCCUCGACCGACACUCACCAGAGCGGUGUGUGUGGCUUAUGGUUACCGAACGGAGGUGAAAA